AGAACGAACGCUGGCGGCAUGCCUAAUACAUGCAAGUCGAACGAACUCUUCGGAGUUAGUGGCGCACGGGAGAGUAAUGCCUAGGAAUCUGCCUAGUGGUGGGGGAUAACGUUCGGAAACGGACGCUAAUACCGCAUACGUCCUACGGGAGAAAGCGGGGGACCUUCGGGCCUCGCGCCAUUAGAUGAGCCUAGGUCGGAUUAGCUAGUUGGUGAGGUAAUGGCUCACCAAGGCGACGAUCCGUAACUGGUCUGAGAGGAUGAUCAGUCACACUGGAACUGAGACACGGUCCAGACUCCUACGGGAGGCAGCAGUGGGGAAUAUUGGACAAUGGGCGAAAGCCUGAUCCAGCCAUGCCGCGUGUGUGAAGAAGGUCUUCGGAUUGUAAAGCACUUUAAGUUGGAGGAAGGUUGUAACCUAAUACGUUGCAACUUUGACGUUACGACAGAAUAAGCACGCUAACUUCGUGCCAGUAGCCG
Molecule: ribosomal RNA, 479 nt
Filed under: uncultured soil bacterium
Lineage: Bacteria
Description: bacterial SSU rRNA
Rfam family: Bacterial small subunit ribosomal RNA
Source: RNAcentral